This is a non-coding RNA of Monodelphis domestica (gray short-tailed opossum), 12290 nucleotides long. The record is from RefSeq and is a predicted model, not a curated record. Lineage: Eukaryota; Metazoa; Chordata; Mammalia; Didelphimorphia; Didelphidae.
AGGCAACACUGUUGGUAAUGUAGACACGAAAUGCAGGCCUUCAACACUAGCUCGUGAUGGGUGUACAAAGCAAACUUCUAAUGGGCUGCUGAAAGCUUCCUGGGUUUUCGUUCUAUUGAAAAAACACACACAUGAACACAAAGAAGACAGCGAUAGUCCAGAGAGAUCAAGUCAAUGAUUGGUGUUUGUGAAAAAAAUGAUUAGAGCCCCCUGACGUUUUCCUCUUUUGUCGCUGCAGCUCCCAGCGGGACAUUGAGAAUGCACCAUGCCUGAAUGGUCCAGUGCUUAAUAGCUGCUCAGAAAUCCCAUCACACUGCGCUCUUAGAGAAGAAUCAACAUUUCUGCCUUCUAAGCCAGGCUGAGGAAUGGAUUGCUGUUGGUUUUUUAAGCCCUCACCUUCCCUCCUAGAAUCAAUCCUGUGUCUUGCUUGGUUCCAAGGCAGAAGAGUGUAAGGACUAAGCAAUGGGGGUGAAGUGACUUGCCCAGGGUCACAAAGCUAGGGAGUAUCUGAGGUCAAAUUCGAACCCCGGACCUCCUGUUUCUAGGCUCUCUAUUCACUGAGCAAUCUAGCUGUCCCCCGCAAUUGAUUGUUAAUAGCACCCCCUCCCUCCCCAUAUGGGCUAUUUACUAAUGGCUUAGCACCAUAUAUGGUACCUGGAGACAUUAUACACUGGGGCAAGAAUCACCGGAGAGGGGAAGCCCAGGGAGGCUGGCAUUCCAUUGUCUGGCUAUACAGUGGGGGGGCUGUGAGUUUUCUUUACUAUUCACCUGAUGGCCUGGGCCACUGCGGUUCCCCUGAUUUGCUAAGUCAGGAGGUGAGAUGUCCAGCACUCAAAGCCCAGAUAAGAAAGUUGGCCCAUCUCUGUCCUCUAUGGAACAAAUAUUCAUGGCUCCUAGUUGGGGUAAGGGGAGUCCUUGUGCUCUGCCGUGGCUUACUCUUGCUAUGGGAUCUAAUCAUGCAUGCACUGAACUCAGUUUUUAAAGUUAGUGAAGGUGCACAGAUAUGCCAAAUAGCAGGAGGGAUGGCACAGGGCUAAGGGAAGAAGAACACGAAAGAAAUUAUUUUGUUAAUCAUAGUUUGUAGAAGUAGCCAGGGGGUGCAGAACUGGGUCUAGAGCCAGGAUGCCUUGAGAUUAAAUCCAGCUUCCAACAAUUACUAGUCAUAUGACCCUGGGCAAGUCACUUCAUUUCAGUCUGGCUUAGUUUCCUCAAGUGUAAAACAGGGAUAAUAAUAAGCACAUAUCUCACAGGGCUGUCAUAAGGACCCAAUAACAUAACUGUAAAAUGCUUAGCACAGUAUUGGGCACAUAGGAGCUCAAUAAAUGCUCCUUUUCUCCCUUCUUUGGAAUGUAUUUCUCUUAAGAUAAUUCUUAUUUCUAGUUCCUAUAGUGCCCCAAACUCAACUAUGUUGAGAUUUUUGCCCUGUUGACACUGGACACGCUUCAAAAAUAUGAUCCUGGGGCUGGAGGUUGCCUUAAAGUUGGCAGGCUGGUAAGCAUUACUCUCCUGGUCACCCAGAGUGUCUCUACGGCAGCCAGUUCCAUUUGGCAAUGAGUACAGAGACCCGCACCAUGGAGGAAACCUACUCAUCGUCCGUCAAGACUAGAUGCUGAUUACUUACUGUCCAGGGAAAUCUCUUGUCCUUAUAGACAUCGGGGAUGUUAAGAGGUUCCAUGGUGUCUCUGACAUAGCGAGCGUACAUGUAAUUGAUUCUGUUGGUGUCUCCAUCCCUACUAAGAGACAAAAAUCCUUCUUUACCACGAUGAAAUGUUGGAAAGACAUAAUUAAACCACAAUGAAAGCCAGUCAAGAGGCUCACAACCAUGAAAAAGGAUGCUCCAAGGCAAUAAUAAUGGAGAAAUGCAAACUGAAGAGCCCUUGAGUUCUUCUCUCACCAAGCAAAUGGCCCAAGAUGACAAGAGUGGAAACAUUCUUUGUUGGAGGGGCUGUGGAAUGACGAGCACACUGGCAUACUGCAGGGAGCUAUACGUUGGACCAACCAUUCUAGAAAGCCCAGUGACUAAAAUGUUUACAUCCUUGGACUCAGAGAACAUUCUUCAAGGAACAAACCACAAGGAGGCCAGUAAAGAAAGACCUCAUUCUCUUCAACAUCUCUGCUUCUUCUACACUGGUGAGCACCCUCCUGGCUGCUCUCUCUUCUCUGGGUUUUCCUGAAACUGAUCUCUCCUACCUGUCUGAUAGCUUCUAUCUCAUCAUCCAUUGCACCCCCUACCUGUGAAUAUUCCCCAAGGUUCUUUGAGGCCCUCUUCUCCCUCUAAGCUCUGUCUUGGUAACUUCAUUAGCUCAUACAAGUUUAGUUAUCAUCUCUACACAAAUGACUCACGAUUAAAUAUCCAGCCUCCAGGCUCUCUAUUUGACAUUCCAAACUGGGAGUACCCAAGGUAUCUUAAAUUCAGCACAUCUAAGACCCAUUAUCUUUCCCGACAAACUCUCCCCUCUUCUGAGCUCCCUUAUUUCUGUCAAAAGCACCACCAUCCCCCCAAUUCCUCAGGUUCCUAGCUUUGUUAUUACCCGCACACCCCACGUAUCCUACCAGUUGCCAGAUCCUACUGUUUCCCUCUUCCCAGUAUAUCUCACAUCUAAGCCCUUCUCUCCACUCACAUUGCUAAGAUGUUAGUUCGGGCCCCUAAAUCAUUCCAUCAACCUUCCAACUGGUCUCCCUGCCUCUAGUUUAUCCCCACACCAGGUCAACUCCCACACAGCAAUUUUCCUUAAGAGAAGAUCUGACCAUGUGACUCCUCUACUUAUUAAACUCCAGUCGCCUCCUGUUGCCCCCUGGGAUAAAUGAUACUCUCUGGUUUAACUCUUAAAGUCCUUCAUAACUGGAACUCAACCUCAAUGGCCAUUACCCUCUGUCCAGUACUCUGCGACUCGACCACAUCGGCCUUCUUCCUAGUCCUCCUGCAGGAUCCUCUGCCUCCACUUCUAAGCCUUUGCCCCGGCUAUUUCUCAUGCUAUCUCAACCUUGCUUCCGAGAGUCUCUCUCUUCCUGUAAGAGGCGACUGAGGCAAGAAUCCCAAUCCCCAUGACUGCCUGUGUCCACUCUCCCAAAUGACUCUGUGGUGAUUCAUUUUAUAUAUAUUUAUGCUGUCUGUGGCACAUAAUCCUGUUCCAGAUUUUACAAGGGAGGAGACUGAGGCACAGAGAAGUGAACCAAUAGCCCAAGGGUGCUCUGAGGUUGAGAGGCAGAGCUUCUGGGCUCAGAAUGCUGGAGACAAUCCAGCAAUGCCUCCCAUUCCUUUUGCACCCACAAUGUGGACAGAUGGGUGCACUGAUGGGUAGACUGGAAGAAGCACUGACUUUGAAGCCAGAGGACCUGAGCUCAUAGGAUCGCAGAUCUUAGCUUGAGGGCUGUGUUACAGCAGGGCUCUCCAAACGUUUUACACAGGGGGCAGUUCACUGUCCCUCAGACUGUUGGAAGGUGGGACUAUAAAAAAAAAAACUGUAUACGCUGUCUGGGAUAGCGGAGGCUGCAGCACUGGCUGGGAUGGCUGUCACACCUUGCACAGGUCCAUCACUGCCACCUCUAUACUGGGCAGCAGGAUACACAGUGCGGAAUCCCCUCCCCCAGAUCACCGCUCACCAUGCUGACGUCUUCCAUUGUGCAGCCACAUAAUCCUUUGCAUGGCGCCUUGUGCCCCGCAAAGGAUUAUGUCACCGGAAGUAGUACUGUACGCGAGCGACACCACGUUUUGAGGUGCCGCCACAUACAGUACUCAGAUGCAUUCUGUGCUCCUCUCACUGACCACCAAAGAAAGAGGUGCCCCUUCCGGAAGUGUGCUGGGGGCCGGAUAAAUGGCCUCAGGGGGCCACAUGUGGACCAUGGGCCGUAGUUUGGGGACUCCUGCCAUAACUUUAAGCUCUCUUUUUAUAGUUGAGGAGAAUGAGGGAUAGAAGCUGAGGGGGAAUGUGAAGCCAUUCUCAACUUCAGAUAGGAGGCCCCAACUCCUAUUCCACUUAGCUUUCUAUCUCUGAGACUUACUAGAUGUGUGCUUUUGGAACAUUUAGCUUUCCUGUGCCUCAGCUUCUUCAUCUACAAAAUAGGAGGAUUGGACUAGAUGACCUUGAGCUCCCUUCUAGUUCUAGACCUAAGAUUUCAUGACAAGAUAAACUAAGGACCAUCUCUCAGAUCCCUUGCUUAAAUUACCCUGAUUUUCUGAAUUCCAAAAAAAGAAAUCAGUUUAUCUCCUUAAAGACUUGGGAAAGGUCCAUGAGCAGAGCUAGAAGCAUUUUAACAAGCUCUGAAGCUCUUCCCUUCUCCAGUAAAGUAUACUUUGUCCCCCCUUGAUCCUUAACUAUUUUUUCUCUUUGACUUCUGAUUUUUGCCUCUACUUCUGGGGCAGUAUAGUUGCUCAGUGGUUAGAGCAUCAGGCCUAGAGUCAAGAAGACCUGAGUUUGAAUUUGGACUUAGAAACUUAUUAGUUGUGUGAGCCUAGGCAAGUCACUUAAUCCUGUUUGCCUCAGUCUCCUCAUCUAUUAAAUGAGCUGGAGAAGGAAAUGACAAACUAAUAUCUUUGCCAAGAAAACUCCAAAUGGCAUCAGGAAGAGUUGGACAUGACUGAAACAACUCAACAACAACAACAACUGGGGCAUAUUGCUUUGAAAAUAUUUUUAAAAAUUAAUUUCAUUUUCAUUUAAAAAAAAAACAAACCCAAACAACCUUUAACUUGACAAUCUUUUUCAUUGCUUUACCCUCGUGUCCUGGGCCCAUAAUCUCAUGUCAGUAAACUCUUAAGCAUUAGAGCCUUGGGCUAACGUGGAACAGAAUUGGAUAGAGGCCUUCUGUACGAAAGACCCAGGGGCCCCUAACGACAGCCAGAGUUGAGCAAGGAGAGUGACUGGCCUAGAUUCGGGUCCACUUUUGGAAAGUUACUCAGCCUCCUCAGAUAUGCCUGGGAAAGAGAAGGUGCAGCUGUGAUGGUUAAGUCUUGGAAAAGGCUGCCUUUGGAAGCAUGAGAAAGAGGGGAAGGGAAAAUUCAAAAGUAAAUAAAUCUAUUUCCACAUAGUUGGCCAACAACUUGCAAUAUUCAAUCUGCUUCUACCUCUGUUUCCAAACUGUGGCCAAGGAUCAUGUGCGUCUCUGCCCCUCAAUUCUCCCUGGAUCUUUCCAUGGACCCCAUUUGGCCCAAGUAUGCUUGAAUCCAUCAAGAAUUUAUUAUGUGCUUGGUAUGAUGAGAGAGUGAGUGUGAUGAAACACUAGAAAAAUACUUCAGUCAUGAGAGACUGGGAGGUAAUGUGGUAUCAUGGCAAGAAGUCAAGGAACCCAGGUUCUAGUUAUUAUGCAGCCAAAUGAGUGUGGACUGCCAACGAAUCCAUGGUCUUUGAGUCCUAGUUUUUUCAGCUGUAAAAUGGGGGUAAUAUUGACUUGGAUUCUCCCCCGGGGUUGUGGUGAAGAUGCUUGAAGGCAGUGGAUGAGGAACUAGAAGAGAUUAGACUAGAGGAGGGGACGUUUAAAGGGACAAUCAUCUUGAGAAGCCAAGAAAGAAUGGGAUUCAGGGCACAGGUAGUCAGGACUGAUCUUGGCAAGGAGAAGGGCCACCUUGUUGUUGUUGUUGUUGAGUUGUUUCUACUUUUUUAUGACUCCAUUUGAGGUUUUCUUAACAAGAUACUGGAAUGAUUUGCCUCUUCCUUCUCCAAUUCAUUUUAUAGAUGGGGAACUGAAGCAGACGCGGUUAAGUGAGCCCAGGCUCACAUAGCUAGUAAGUGUCUGAGGCCAGAUUUGAACUAGGAAUAACUGGGCACCUUUAAAAGUACUACCCAGGGGCCUUUACUUCUUAAAAUUACUUCAUAAUUAAUUACUUCUCUAGAUGUUAUCUUUUGCUUCCCCUAGAAGAAUAUAAGUCCUUCAGGGCUAAGAUUUUUAUAGUUUUCAAAUCUUUCUGUCGCUAGUGUUUUGUACACAGUAGGCACGUAAUAAAUGUUUGUGGCUUUGAACUGAUUUUUUCUAAGAUGACUCUUUGUCAGUAGAGGGCACUGUCCCCCAGAGUCUUGUGGCCUUUCAUUGGCCACUUUAAGACCUAGAGCCCAGCCCCAUUUGCCACUGCCAGUUCAAGGUCCUAACACACAAAAACAUGUCUGUCUGACAUUGAAAGCACAGGUUCAAGCAUUCCAUAUUUCCAAAGAGUCACAUGUAUGAUUUGGUUCUCACAUGAAUUCUAUUGGGUAGAUACUACUGUGGCCCAGUGUUAAGGUCAGCCUAUCCACUACUACUACCACCAUUUACUAAGAACCUGCUAUGCUCAAGAUCUGAACUAGGUACUGGAGAAUGCAAAUUUAGAUUUGACCGCAGAUCAGGUAGUAUCAGGGACCAUUCAGAGAUCUGAUGUAAAAUGGUCACAAUGACCAGGAACAGCUCUGGGAACAUGGGGUCCACAGCACAGAUGGAGGAAGCUCUAAUACUGUCACCAUUUCCCAUCAAAGGUCUUGGUUGUUUGCAUGAAGGCCACUAAGAGGUCAUCUAUUUCUUGCAGGCAACCUUUCUUUAAGCUUGAGCUGAUAUUGAGUCUCAGCCAAUAUGGCCAUAUGUUCCAUGACUCCUAGUACACACAUCAAAAUAUGCCUUUCCUGGAAGUCCAUGAUAACAAAUUUGGUUUCCUUUAGAGCAGUGGUUCUCCACCUUUCUAAUGCCGUGACCCCGCAAUACAGUUCCCCAUGUUGCAGUGACCCCAAACGGUGGCUACUUCCAAACUGUCAUUUUGCUAGUUAUGAUUCGGAAUGUAAAUACCUGAUAUGCCUUACGUCUUCUGAUUGCUACAAAUUGAGAGGUGGAGAACCGCUGCUUUAGAGAGUGAGGGGGCAGCCUCUUCUGCAAGGGAUGGAGGAGUGAAGAGAACUCUAGCUGUAGAGUCAAAAAGACUCAUUUUUUUAGUUCAAACCUGGCCUCAUGUAAGCCUGGAUAAGUCACUUAACCUUGUUUGUCUCAGUUUCCUCAUCUGUAAAAUGAACUAGAUAAGGAAAGGGCAAACCACUCUAGUAUCUUUGCCAAGCAAACCCCCCAAAAGUGGUCACAAAGAGUCACGUAUGGCUGAAGAGUACUGGAAAACAACAAAGAAAAUGACAUUAAGCAUUGGCUUCAGGAUAUUAGUCAAUCUCUUAUCCUCAGCCUUGGGCUUCUCCUUGAUAGCCGUAUGCAGGGAGAAGACCAAGGCUUCAAUGUCGGUAUCACUUUUAUUCAUUGGUGCAGGUUGACCUUCAGAUUCAAGUUCAAAGCCUUCCAUUUCUAUGCUUUCUUGGCCUUCGUUAAGAACUUUGCAUUUUUAGGAAUCCAAAUGACACUGUGAAAUCAAACUGGAAGCAUAUGAGGCCAGAUCGGAACUGAAGACCUGAUUCUGGCCCCAACCCUCUAUCCUCUGAACUGUGUCUAUGCAGAGAAUUCCCACAUUAUGUAGCCAAUCUCAAUCUUUCUCCCAACCCAAGAGAGAAAACAUCUAUCAGAUGAAAUGUCUCUUUCAAUAUGCUUUCCUGGGAACCCUAUAACUUGAUGUAAUUCAACUACAUUGCAUGAUUAACACAAUUUUUUGACCUGACUCCCUCUCCCUCUUUCAUUUGAGAGCCACUCUCAGUUCUAGUCGAGAAGGACAAUGUAUGGAUUUAGUGACAGGCAGAAGCCCAGUCUUAAAUUAGCUUCUGAAUGAUGCCACAUGAAUUGUUCUCCACCUUGGUUGGCAAUUUAGUUUAAUCGGGAAAAAAACAGUAUAUUUCACAUGGGCAUCAAAUAUCCUCACAUUCUCACUAUACUUGGAGCUACCAAACACAUGGAGAGCACACGACUGAGGCAGGAGUGGGGAAUGAAAUCAAAGAUUUUAUGAUAAUAAGGUAGUUGAAGUAUUAUAGCACUUUAGGGUGGCUUGGCCUAUGACCGUGUUGGUGAACCUAUGGCACGUGCCAGAGGGGGCUGCUCCCCUCCCCCUCUCCACAGGAGCGUAAGGACAUUUCUCACUUCAUUCUGCCCAGCAGCACAGUGGGAGCACUUCCUUCCUCUCCUUGUCUGGGGUAAGGUAGGAGGCUCAUAUACAUUAUGAGGGUUGCAGUUUGGGUACUUGGUCUCUAAAAGUUUCACCAUCACUGGUCUAUGAGGAGUGAAUUCAUAAUAAUUUGCUUUUUGUAAUCCUAGAACUUUGGUGAUCACUCUUUUUGAUCCUCAGCCAACAGAAUAUUUUUGUGUGUUUAUAGAUUUCUUUUUGAGCAAUACAAGCUAAAGAUGCUUUGUAAUUAAAUACACAAGCACCUAACUGGAGCAAUGCAAGCCUAUUCUUAGAGGGGUCCCUGGUGUCCUAAUCUUUUGGUAAUAAGGAUAUGAUGCCUUUUGUCAAGAAGGACAAGCUCAGGCUUGCAUCAGAGAGGAAGGUGGGAAAGCUAGUUAUUCAAUGACCUAGAUGAAGCCAGAACCAAUAAUUAUGGAUUUUCUCCACAUUUCUUCAAAGAAGAGUUUCAGUCAUCCCUCUCUCUACCAUCUUCUGAUUUUGUUGUAAUAAUUCUUCUUUUAUUUUUUGCCACUCCAGGAUCUUUGCCAAGAAAACCCCAAAUGGAAUCAGGAAGAGUUAUAUAUGACUGAGAACAACUGAACAGAACAGUUACAAUUACAAUUUCUAGUAACAAUGACUUAGUCUUGAUUUCCUAUCAUAAGCCCCUUAAUUUCCACAAAGAAAUCCAUAGCACUCAGCUAUUUAACCCAGUCUUCUUUUGCUAUUGUUAUCUGAUAUUAACAUGUUCAAUAUUUCACAUGCAUUAUCUCAUUUGAACCAAAUACUAACUCUAUGAGAGAGGAUCGAUACUAUUACUAUUUUCAUUUUAUAGACGAGGAAACAGAAGCUUAAGUAAGGGGAGUGACUUGCCCAGGGUCAAAUCACUCAUAAGUGUCUGGAGUAGAAUUUGAACUUGGGUCUUCCUGCUUCCAUGUUCAUCAGGUAUUCCACUACCCCAUGUGAUGUCUCUGCCCUUUCGCUCCCCAGCCUUACACCAGUGAUUGGAAAGAUUCCACUGUGGGUUGAAAAGCUAAGAGCAGUACUCCAUGGAGAGACACUGAAAUUGCUCUCCAAAUGAAGGGAUGUGCCCUUUAACCAGGAUUUUUGCAUCCGUCAAAAGGAAUUCAGAAAAAUAUAUUUUACCUUGUUAGAGCAUCUGCUGGUUUUUCCAAAUCCUCAAACUCCAUGUGAAACACCCUAGAAAACGAAUCCUGAAAACACAACAAGGGCAACAUGGAUGGUGCAGAAUAUUCUCUACUCUGAUGAAAAUCAAACAGGUAAAACAAAUGAGUCACUUCUGCCUCCGAAUGGGUCAAAGGCAAUUAUUUCACUUUCUUUUCCUUUCCCUUCCAAGUAACUGGACUGGGUAGUCACCUCUCUGGCACACCAGACACAACAUUAGUGCAAGAAAAUUUGGGAAUAUUUUAAAUAGAUGUUGCCAUCCCUGGUUUAGCUGCCAUUGCUGAAGGCUGGAAUUCUUAUGGAUCACACUGACCAGCCAGGCAUGGCGGAGAUCCCUCCAAUUUCUACCAUCCUCAAUCCCUUCCUCUUUAGAAUUCUAAUUUCAGCAUUCAUCAGUCUUCUUUCUCCUCCUUUACUGUGGCAAUGGAAGGUUUGUUGUUGUCUCUGAGGUGGUCCAACAUAUGCCCAUUUGGGACAAUCUUCUCCUAUAAUCUUAUUUCCAACAUUUCAUCAUUUCAGAAAUGGGAAAUUGCUCCAACUAUAAUUUUGUGGCUGAAUGUGGUACUUGGCCUCACUCUUCAAAACCAAGCAAAAUGAAGUGAGACACAAAAAUAUAUGAUGGAGGGGAAAUUCUUGUUUUUUAACCUUUACCUUGAUUAAUUUAAACCUUAAGACAGGAUCUUAAUAUCAAUUUUAAGGCAGAAGAGUAGUAAGGCAUUUGAGGUUAAAUGACUUGCUCAAGAUUACACAGCUAAAAAGUAUCUGAUGCCAAAUUUGAACCCAGGUCCUCCCAACUUCAGGUCUGGUGCUCUAUCCAUUGUACUACAUAGUUGCCCCAGAGGGAAUGUUCUAACAAUAUCUCCCCAAAAGACCUUAGAAAAGAGCAUGCUACUGUGAUAGGGAUCCAUGAGUCAAGAAAUCAUUAAGGUGGAUCAAUAUGAUAUUGAGAUAUUCUAAAAAUGAAAGCCCCAAACAUAGUAAGCAUGGAUGCUAAGGGGAGUACAACCCAUUAAAAAGAGUUGGACCAGGCCAAUAGUGGGUUCUGACGGGUGCUUUGGAAGUUUCCAACAUCAAGAUCAUCCCUCAUUCAAACACACAGAAAGUUUCAAAACUGAUAGCAAGAGUGGUAUGGCCAAGAUUUCUCAUAUAAUCCAAUUGGACAAACGUGGGGUUCAUUUUGCCAAUGCCAUUCUUUAAUCUCCAGCACUUUCCCAUUGCUUCCAGUGCAGGAGAAAACGAGAUAGAGACUAGGUCUAUCUCUGAUACCCAAAUGACCUGAUUUCAUUGGUACUGAGGAACUUCCAGGUGAGGAAAUUCCUUGUUGACCUCUAGGCAACUUUAUGGUCACAGAGAACUGUCUGGAUCCCUGAAAGACCCGGAGACUUUUCCAUAGUCAAUGGUUAGUCUGUGUCAAGACCAGGCUGGAAGCAAGCUGUCUAUCCACUAGGCAACACUGCCUCUCACAAUAUAAACAGAAGUCUGUGACAAUGAUUCCAAGGCAUGGUAAUACCUUCUCUUUCUUAUUCUAGAAUUUUUUUUUCAUUUUCCCCCUUCAUUAAAUUUUAUGGUGAUAGCUUCUAAAUCAUCAAAGAAAAUGUGAAAUUUACACUAAAUUGUUUAAUAAUAACUUUAUUGUAUUCUAAUCAUAGAAAAAAUCCCCAUACAAAUAGUCCUCAAGUUGUAAGAGUGCCCAGCUGACAAAUGGCAGGUAAAAGUAAUUAGAAAUGGCCAUUCCCUAUUCCCUCCCCUCUCCACUAUGGAAAAUACCUAGAGAGGUGUUAAGACAAUCUUGGAGUUCAGAAAUAGGACAAGGGAACAAGAUGGGAACGCUUGGAAUAAUGUGGAGGAACAGCCCCUGAAAGCGGAUCCCCAAGUAGGAUCCUAGGAUUGUAGAUUUAGAGCUGGAAGAGAACUGAGAAGUCAUUGAGUCCAAUUUCUUCAUUUUACAGAUUAGGAAAGAGGGAGGGGAAAUGACUUGUCUGGGGUCACCCAGCUAGUAAGUAUUUGAGGCUGGACUUGAAUCCAGGUCUUUCUGAUUCCAGGUCACUAUUCCAUCCUUAUUGUCUAAUAUGGGCCAUUCAGUAUGUGUGCUUCUAUGUCAUGGACAUAGAAUACUUGCCCUCUAAAAGCCUCAAGCUUUUCCUAAGUCUGUAAUAGAACUCAAGAGGCCACGACUUUGGGUGACAUCGACAUUCACCCGCAUUCUCCCUCAAAAACCGGACACCUCAGGGAGACAGGGAAGGAGCUACAGGGGGCAUCUUAGACGUGAGUGUGAUUCAGCUGCCACCAAUCAGAAGAAGGGAAUGAGAGUUUUGGUACUGGGGGAUCAUUCUGGAGCAUGGAGCCACUCCUGCGAUACAGCUAUUACCUAUAUUCAAACAUAAAUUGCUACAUCAUUUUAGCAACAUCAAAAGGUGAGAGUGAAUCCUAUGAUCUCAUUUUUCCUUCUUGGUGUAUUUUCCUGGUGUCAGACCAGCUCGUAAGUGGUCCACUGGAAAGGGCACUAGACUGAGAGGUAGAAAAUCGGUCAUUAGUUGACACUGAAAUUUUAAGUUAUUCCCUUUCUCCUUGGGUCAGACUAGAGAGUACUUAAGAUCUCGUCCAAAUAGAGCAUUUUGCCACAAGUAGUUAGUGAGGAUCUGUAUCAGGUGCUUAUGGGGACAGGAGGGCAGUGAUAGUCCAGGGCGAGGCCAGAGAAAGGACUAAAGGAGGGAGCAGAGCCCAUCUGGACAUUUUGCUUUGCAUUCAAGAGAGGGGCAGGAAACUCUUCUUCUUUCUCUUCCUUCUUGACCGCCCAUCACUAGCUGAAUCAACUUUUAGGGACUGGUCUGAUAAUCUGAUCACUAUGUUCAUCAUUGUUCCUACCGGAGAACUAUUUAGUAGUCUGAAGAACUGAUUUACAAAUGAACGAAGAGAUCUGCUCAGGCACCCAGCAUGCCCAUGAUUUGGGAGGGUCUCCUCUCUCUGAUCUCCCUCUCUCUGUCUCUCUGUCUCUCUUUCUCUGUCUCUCUUUCUUUCUCUCUCUCUCUCUCUCUCUCUCUCUCUCUCUCUCUCUCUCUCUCUCUCUCUCUCUCUGUCUCUCUGUCUCUCUCUCUGUCUCUGUCUCUGUCUCUGUCUCUGUCUC